RNAcentral lists this ribosomal RNA (465 nucleotides) under Vreelandella stevensii. Its description in RNAcentral is "partial 16S ribosomal RNA". It matches the Rfam family "Bacterial small subunit ribosomal RNA", at positions 338 to 795 of the family's 1533-position model. Lineage: Bacteria; Pseudomonadati; Pseudomonadota; Gammaproteobacteria; Oceanospirillales; Halomonadaceae. The record is from RNAcentral.
CCUACGGGAGGCUGCAGUGGGGAAUAUUGGACAAUGGGGGGAACCCUGAUCCAGCCAUGCCGCGUGUGUGAAGAAGGCCCUCGGGUUGUAAAGCACUUUCAGUGAGGAAGAACGCCUGGUGGUUAAUACCCAUCAGGAAAGACAUCACUCACAGAAGAAGCACCGGCUAACUCCGUGCCAGCAGCCGCGGUAAUACGGAGGGUGCGAGCGUUAAUCGGAAUUACUGGGCGUAAAGCGCGCGUAGGUGGUUUGAUAAGCCGGUUGUGAAAGCCCCGGGCUCAACCUGGGAACGGCAUCCGGAACUGUUAAGCUUGAGUGCAGAAGAGGAAGGUGGAAUUCCUGGUGUAGCGGUGAAAUGCGUAGAGAUCGGGAGGAAUACCAGUGGCGAAGGCGGCCCUCUGGACUGACACUGACGCUGAGGUGCGAAAGCGUGGGUAGCGAACAGGAUUAGAUACCCCUGUAGUC